Molecule: ribosomal RNA, 397 nt
Filed under: uncultured bacterium
Lineage: Bacteria
Description: bacterial SSU rRNA
Rfam family: Bacterial small subunit ribosomal RNA
Source: RNAcentral
AGCGGCAGACGGGUGAGUAACACGUGGGAACGUACCCUUUGGUUCGGAAUAACGCUGGGAAACUAGCGCUAAUACCGGAUACGCCCUUUUGGGGAAAGGCUUGCUGCCGAAGGAUCGGCCCGCGUCUGAUUAGCUAGUUGGUGGGGUAAUGGCCUACCAAGGCGACGAUCAGUAGCUGGUCUGAGAGGAUGAUCAGCCACACUGGGACUGAGACACGGCCCAGACUCCUACGGGAGGCAGCAGUGGGGAAUAUUGGACAAUGGGCGCAAGCCUGAUCCAGCCAUGCCGCGUGAGUGAUGAAGGCCUUAGGGUUGUAAAGCUCUUUUGUCCGGGACGAUAAUGACGGUACCGGAAGAAUAAGCCCCGGCUAACUUCGUGCCAGCAGCCGCGGUAAUAC